Long non-coding RNA from Pyrus x bretschneideri (Chinese white pear), 1487 nucleotides. RefSeq lists it as uncharacterized. The transcript is spliced from 2 exons. Lineage: Eukaryota; Viridiplantae; Streptophyta; Magnoliopsida; Rosales; Rosaceae. The record is from RefSeq and is a predicted model, not a curated record.
CCUCAAUCGUAACUCCGAUUUUGAUUAUGUUUGUGCUUACGCAUUCGUACUGUCAAAUACUUCAAGAAUACAGUAAAAUAAUAGCUCAUACAUGUCACGAAAUAACGAUCAACGAAAAUCAACAAUCUCACAUUUAGAGGCAUUUUUGUUAUUCUAUUUUUAAAAUUAAUAAAAUCGUAAAAUUAAGGAUGGGGUAUCACACUCUCUCUUUCAUUUCUCCCUCACUUUGCACACUCUCUUUCCCUCAAACUCUCCUUCCCUUUACUCUUUAACUCUUUAUUCUCUAUGAAAACACAUAGAAACCUGCAGAAACCACCACCAAUUCUCCUCGUUUAUUUGUCCUUCCCAAAACCCAGAAAUAAAUACCACGAGUUUGAAACCAAGCUUGAGGCCUUACACCACACAGUGGCUUCUGCACUGUUCAGAGCAAGUCCACACCUAAAAAAAUGUGUCAGCACCCAGUCUAUUUAAUCCACUCAAUAAAUAGUGAUAAAUCCCAAUAAAUAGUAAUAGACCAAAUGUAUCCACUGCUAAAACUAAAUAACCUAGUAAAUUUUAUUAAAAUAUUAUUAAUUUUUAUUAUAAAUAAUAAAAAUUAAUCCCCCUCUCCCUUAUAAUCUUCAACCUUACCUUAAUCCUUCUCUGACUCACCUGAUUUCCACAAUCCAAUCCACACCCACAACCCAACCCACACUUCGAAACGACGCCGUCAAACCCACCAAACUUUGAACACUGACAACGACCACCCUCUUCCCCACACGUCUCGCAAUCACACUCAGCUGUGCCCUUCCCCAACUCAUCCACCCAACGCACCGUUUUGACACCGAUUUCACCAGCCGAGUUCGAUCCCUGUGCCAAGCAACCGGAGCCCUAAGAUUGGCGGAGUGGAAAUCUAGAAGAGGAAUGAGGGAUUUGAGAUAGGGUGUAGAUGAAGAAGGCGUACGGGUGUCUAUCAACGGAGUUAUGGAAUAGGAUCAGAUGGGGUUCCAGGGAUCAGGAGAUGUCGGAGGCACAACGGAGAGUGAUUGAGGUAGAGAUUGCGCGGAGGGUGGUGCAUGUGAGAAAGAUGAUGGCGAGUUCUUGUGGAGUUAGCCAUGGCGUCAGAUGGGCCAUCCCAUGGGUUUGUCGAUUCUGGGCCUGCGUAUGGCCUGGCUUGGGCUGGGUGCCAACCUAUUAGGCUGGGGUGGAAUUGCUCUCACUGUCUUCCCCGACGAAAUCUCGGCGAGUUCUUGAUGACUCUAACUAAGAUGGUAAAAAUGCUAUCAACAAGACACCCAAAGACCUUCAAGUGGCCAUAAGAGGGGAAUUUACAAUUUACGAUACCAUUUUUCGAAAGGGGUUUUUUUUUUAAAGAAGAAAAGUAGGUAAACAUUUAAUCAAGUAAACUGUUGUGUAGAAACAAUCCUCCCAUAAAUGAACAGGAAGAUGUGCUUGAAAUUGUAAAACCCCAGUGACUUCAAGGAUAUGGUAGUGUUUGCACUCGACUA